UACGAAGGGUGCAAACGUUGCUCGGAAUCAUUGGGCGUAAAGCGCACGUAGGCGGCCUCCUAAGUCGGAUGUGAAAUCCCUCGGCUCAACCGAGGACGUGCAUCCGAAACUGUGAGGCUCGAGUAUGGAAGAGGGUCGCGGAAUUCCCGGUGUAGAGGUGAAAUUCGUAGAUAUCGGGAGGAACACCAGUGGCGAAGGCGGCGACCUGGGCCAAUACUGACGCUGAGGUGCGAAAGCGUGGGGAGCAAACAGG
RNAcentral lists this ribosomal RNA (253 nucleotides) under uncultured bacterium. RNAcentral's name for it is "partial 16S ribosomal RNA". It matches the Rfam family "Bacterial small subunit ribosomal RNA", at positions 524 to 776 of the family's 1533-position model. The record is from RNAcentral.